GGGCCACUCCCGACCCUUGGCUCAUACAGACUUGUGGGAGCACUGUUGCUCCUUCGUUCACCUCACUUGUUCAGUGUUUUCUGAGAGCCAGCUUUGGACAGGCUCGGUUCUGGGUGCUAAGGGAGGUGGGGUGUGAGGCACACAGCCUGGGCCAGGGGCCUGGGUUUGGCCUCCUGAGGCUGUGAGGCCUCAAGACAUGGGAAAGGAGGCACGCGGGGGUGGCCUGGCUUCUGACCAGGACUGGUGUGGGCAGGUGGGGAGGGUGCUGGGCUCAGAGGGUGCCCAGGAGACUGGACCCAGAGUCCCUUGUGCUGUGGAAAAGGGUGGGGCUAGUGGUGACAGAGUGGAACCUCAUUUCUGUGUCCAAUUACGGGCCAGCCUUGUGGGGCUCUCGCGUGUGCGUGCAUGUGUGUGGGGCAGGCAGGGGUGGGGACCCAGUGUACGUGAGGCUGACCUCUGCUCCCUUGGACAGGCAGAGAGGACCCAGGGCUGAGUUUCUUCUCUCCAUGGGCCACGAAUACCCACAGGUAUGGCAUCUGAUAAGGAACAAAGAGGUUUCCGUGACCAGACCGGUUCAAAAGCAUUCCUCCAAUCCAGCGACCGCACGUCUGGGUGUACAUCCAAAAGAUUUGAAAGCAAGGUCUGGAAGAGAGAUUUGCACCCCCAUGUUCAUAGCUGCCUUGUUCACAGUAGCAAAAAGGUGGAAGCAAUUCAAGUGUCUAUCAUGAGAUGAACGUAUAAACAAGACGUUGUCCGUCCACGUAAGGGGAUAUUAUUCAGCCUUAAAAAGGAAGGGAAUCCUGUCACACGCUGCAACAUGGAUGAGCCCUCAGGGUAUGAUGCUAAGUGAAAUAGGCCAGUCACUGAAGGGCAAACGCUGUGUGAUUCUACUUAGAUGAGGCAUCUCUAGUCGUCAAAUGCAUAGAACUGGUUGCCAGGGCCCAGGAGGAGGAGGCCGGGGGAGGAGGUGUUUAGUGGGAACAGAGUUUCAGUGUUGAAGAUGGAAACCUCCCGGAGAGCUGCUGUCCGACAGCCACAGCCCGCAUUCACUCUACUGAGCCAGGCACUUACAAGUGGUUACGAUGGGAAGAAUCUGUUAUAAGACGGCCGACAGGACUGACAGGGGAAUUUGUCCCUGCCCGAAGACUCCCCUUCCUGGUUCUUCUUCCUGCCAAAUUGCUACGAAUGCUGGAUGCAGAAAUAACAGACUCUAAAUUGUCCCCCAUGCUUACGCUCAGGACUCAGACCUCUGGAGAGUGAUGUCCUCUGAGCCCGCUGGUGUGAAAUAAACCUCCUGCCUUCCAAGAUCUCCGGGUGCUGUUUGGUUCUUCUGCCAGGUGAUCCAGACCAGGUUCCGUGACAAAAUAAGUUACAUAAAUGGAAUCAGAUAGUCUUUUGGGGUUGGCUUCCCCCCACCCCCCUCAGGACAGUUCCCUAGAAACUCAUCGAAGCAUAUCAAUAGUUGACUCCUUUGUGUCACUGAGUGUAUUCUGUAGGAUGGGUUGACCACAGUGUUUAGAUGUGUGAACAUCUAAGGACAGACAUCUGGGCUGACUCCAGUUUGAGCUGUUAUACGUAAAGCUGCUAUGAACAUUCAUUCAGGUUUUGGGGGAACAUACGUUUUCAUUUCUCUGUAAUAAAUCCCCAGGACCGUGACCAUAAGCCCUUCCUAGGAUGACAUUAGGUAAUCCUCAUUUGUGAUCAGCUCGUUUCUUUAUUUCUUUUUUUUUUUUUUUUUAACGUUUAUUUAUUAUUGAGAGAAAGA
Molecule: long non-coding RNA, 1765 nt
Organism: Herpailurus yagouaroundi (jaguarundi)
Lineage: Eukaryota; Metazoa; Chordata; Mammalia; Carnivora; Felidae
Exons: 2
Source: RefSeq, a predicted model, not a curated record